AAGGCAAUACUUUCAGGGAUCACGUCUGUAGUGCUUUGUCAUAGCCCUUUUCUAAAGUGUUUGGUCUCACUGUCCACGAGGAAGAGUGGCUAGUGUGGUUUUCUGCAUACCUUUGCCAGGUUCUAGCCUUAUUGUUUUUUGUCAACUGAUCGCUGUUAUUGAUGACGGCACUUAGGGGGCUGGAGGAAGCAGGCGUGUUCUGAGUGAA
Molecule: small nucleolar RNA, 208 nt
Organism: Polyodon spathula (Mississippi paddlefish)
Lineage: Eukaryota; Metazoa; Chordata; Actinopteri; Acipenseriformes; Polyodontidae
Product: small nucleolar RNA U3
Exons: 1
Source: RefSeq, a predicted model, not a curated record